This 1166-nucleotide ribosomal RNA is filed under the name Pinus taeda (loblolly pine). Its description in RNAcentral is "SSU rRNA". It matches the Rfam family "Eukaryotic small subunit ribosomal RNA", at positions 638 to 1823 of the family's 1831-position model. Lineage: Eukaryota; Viridiplantae; Streptophyta; Pinopsida; Pinales; Pinaceae. The record is from RNAcentral.
AUCUUGGGUCGUAAAGGUCGGUCCGCCUACUCGGUGUGCACCUGCCCUUCCGUCCCUUUUGUCGGCGGCGUGCUCCUGGCCUUAAUUGGCUGGGUCGCGUCUCCGGCGCUGUUACUUUGAAAAAAUUAGAGUGCUCAAAGCAAGCUUAUGCUCUGAAUACAUUAGCAUGGAAUAACGUGAUAGGAGUCUUGUCCUAUUGUGUUGGCCUUCGGGACCGGAGUAAUGAUUAAUAGGGACUGUUGGGGGCAUUCGUAUUUCAUUGUCAGAGGUGAAAUUCUUGGAUUUAUGAAAGACGGACCACUGCGAAAGCAUUUGCCAAGGAUGUUUUCAUUAAUCAAGAACGAAAGUUGGUGGCUCGAAGACGAUCAGAUACCGUCCUAGUCUCAACCAUAAACGAUGCCGACCAGGGAUCGGCGGAUGUUGCUCUAAGGACUCCGCCAGCACCUUCUGAGAAAUCAGAGUGUUUGGGUUCCGGGGGGAGUAUGGUCGCAAGGCUGAAACUUAAAGGAAUUGACAGAAGGGCACCACCAGGAGUGGAGCCUGCGGCUUAAUUUGACUCAACACGGGGAAACUUACCAGGUCCAGACAUAGUAAGGAUUGACAGAUUGAGAGCUCUUUCUUGAUUCUAUGGGUGGUGGUGCAUGCCCGUUCUUAGUUGGUGGAGCGAUUUGUCUGGUUAAUUCCGAUAACGAACGAGACCUCAGCCUGCUAACUAGCUACGCGGAGGUUCCCCUUCGCGGCCAGCUUCUUAGAGGGACUAUGGCCGUUUAGGCCAUGGAAGUUUGAGGCAAUAACAGGGCUGUGAUGCCCUUAGAUGUUCUGGGCCGCACGCGCGCUACACUGAUGCAGCCAACGAGCUUUUCUUCCUGGUUCGAGAGGAUCGGGAAAUCUUUUCAAAUUGCAUCGUGAUGGGGAUAGACCAUUGCAAUUAUUGGUCUUCAACGAGGAAUUCCUAGUAAGCGCAUGUCAUCAACUCGUGUUGACUAUGUCCCUGCCCAUUGUACACACCGCCCGUCGCUCCUACCGAUUGAAUGAUCCGGUGAAGUGUUCGGAUUGCGUCGACGAUGGUGGUUCGCCGCCGUCGACGUCGUGAGAAGUUCAUUGAACCUUAUCAUUUAGAGGAAGGAGAAGUCGUAAAAAGGUUACCGUAGGUGAACCUGCGGUAG